UAUAAGAAUCCGUGUACCGGUACAAGGGACCCGAAAAUGUGGAUUUGGUUGGAAAAUUAGUUUUUUUGAGGGGGCUUUUGGGUUUUGUUACAAUAGAGAACUUAAACCCCUCUCUCUCAGCCUCUCACCCUCUCACUCUCCUCAGCUCACUCUCUCUCUACACUCUCUCUCUCUAACCGAAUAGAAGGAGAAGAAGGAGAAAAAGGAAAAGAGAAGGAAAAAGAAGGAAAAAGAGAGGAAGAAAAGGAAGGAGAAGAAGGAGAAGAAGGUUUGGGAGCUCUCCUUUACCUCAUU
This 294-nucleotide long non-coding RNA is filed under the name Ananas comosus (pineapple). RNAcentral's name for it is "long non-coding RNA (ACOM_LNC003731)". Lineage: Eukaryota; Viridiplantae; Streptophyta; Magnoliopsida; Poales; Bromeliaceae. The record is from RNAcentral.